RNAcentral lists this ribosomal RNA (428 nucleotides) under uncultured archaeon. Its description in RNAcentral is "bacterial SSU rRNA". It matches the Rfam family "Archaeal small subunit ribosomal RNA", at positions 474 to 903 of the family's 1478-position model. The record is from RNAcentral.
UACCUGCAGCUCAAGUGGUGAUCAUUAUUAUUGGGCCUAAAACGUCCGUAGCCGGUUUAGUAAAUGCCUGGGUAAAUCGUGUAGCUUAACUAUACGACUUCCGGGUAGACUGCUAAACUUGAGACCGGGAGAGGCUAGAGGUACUCCUGGGGUAGAGGUGAAAUUCUGUAAUCCUAGGGGGACCACCAGUGGCGAAGGCGUCUAGCUAGAACGGGUCUGACGGUGAGGGACGAAGCCCUGGGGCACAAACCGGAUUAGAUACCCGGGUAGUCCAGGGUGUAAACGCUGCUUGCUUGAUGUUAGUUGGGCUCAGAGCCCAACUAGUGUCGGAGAGAAGUUGUUAAGCAAGCUGCCUGGGAAGUACGGUCGCAAGGCUGAAACUUAAAGGAAUUGGCGGGGAGCACAGCAACGGGUGGAGCCUGCGGUUU